UACGUAGGGUGCAGGCGUUAAUCGGAAUUACUGGGCGUAAAGCGUGCGCAGGCGGCCUCUUAAGUCAGAUGUGAAAUCCCCUGGCUUAACCUGGGAACUGCGUUUGAAACUGGGAGGCUAGAGUGUGGAAGAGGGGGGUGGAAUUCCAGGUGUAGCAGUGAAAUGCGUAGAGAUGUGGAGGAAUACCGAUGGCGAAGGCAGCCCCCUGGGAUAACACUGACGCUCAUGCACGAAAGCGUGGGGAGCAAACAGG
RNAcentral lists this ribosomal RNA (253 nucleotides) under uncultured bacterium. RNAcentral describes it as "partial 16S ribosomal RNA". It matches the Rfam family "Bacterial small subunit ribosomal RNA", at positions 524 to 776 of the family's 1533-position model. The record is from RNAcentral.